UACGAAGGGGGCUAGCGUUGUUCGGAAUCACUGGGCGUAAAGCGCACGUAGGCGGAUUGUUAAGUCAGGGGUGAAAUCCUGGAGCUCAACUCCAGAACUGCCUUUGAUACUGAGGAUCUUGAGUUCGGGAGAGGUGAGUGGAACUGCGAGUGUAGAGGUGAAAUUCGUAGAUAUUCGCAAGAACACCAGUGGCGAAGGCGUCUCACUGGCCCGAUACUGACGCUGAGGCACGAAAGCGUG
RNAcentral lists this ribosomal RNA (240 nucleotides) under uncultured bacterium. RNAcentral's name for it is "partial 16S ribosomal RNA". It matches the Rfam family "Bacterial small subunit ribosomal RNA", at positions 524 to 763 of the family's 1533-position model. The record is from RNAcentral.